GAUGAACGCUGGCGGCGUGCCUAAUACAUGCAAGUCGAGCGAACAGACGAGGAGCUUGCUCCUCUGACGUUAGCGGCGGACGGGUGAGUAACACGUGGAUAACCUACCUAUAAGACUGGGAUAACUUCGGGAAACCGGAGCUAAUACCGGAUAAUAUAUUGAACCGCAUGGUUCAAUAGUGAAAGACGGUUUUGCUGUCACUUAUAGAUGGAUCCGCGCCGCAUUAGCUAGUUGGUAAGGUAACGGCUUACCAAGGCAACGAUGUGUAGCCGACCUGAGAGGGUGAUCGGCCACACUGGAACUGAGACACGGUCCAGACUCCUACGGGAGGCAGCAGUAGGGAAUCUUCCGCAAUGGGCGAAAGCCUGACGGAGCAACGCCGCGCGAGUGAUGAAGGUCUUCGGAUCGUAAAACUCUGUUAUUAGGGAAGAACAAAUGUGUAAGUAACUAUGCACGUCUUGACGGUACCUAAUCAGAAAGCCACGGCUAACUACGUG
Molecule: ribosomal RNA, 497 nt
Filed under: uncultured bacterium
Lineage: Bacteria
Description: partial 16S ribosomal RNA
Rfam family: Bacterial small subunit ribosomal RNA
Source: RNAcentral